This 168-nucleotide ribosomal RNA is filed under the name uncultured bacterium. RNAcentral describes it as "partial 16S rRNA". It matches the Rfam family "Bacterial small subunit ribosomal RNA", at positions 352 to 511 of the family's 1533-position model. The record is from RNAcentral.
CAGUAGGGAAUCUUCGGCAAUGGACGAAAGUCUGACCGAGCAACGCCGCGUGAGUGAAGAAGGUUUUCGGAUCGUAAAACUCUGUUGGUAGAGAAGAACGUUGGUGAGAGUGGAAAGCUCAUCAAGUGACGGUAACUACCCAGAAAGGGACGGCUAACUACGUGCCAU